Molecule: ribosomal RNA, 430 nt
Filed under: uncultured bacterium
Lineage: Bacteria
Description: bacterial SSU rRNA
Rfam family: Bacterial small subunit ribosomal RNA
Source: RNAcentral
AGCGAACGUUUGCGGCGGGCUUAACACAUGCAAGUCGAACGGGCUGUUCCUUCGGGGGCAGUCAGUGGCGCACGGGUGCGUAACACGUAGGUAAUCAACCCUCUGGUUGGGGAUAACACUUCGAAAGGAGUGCUAAUACCCGGUAUGGCGCAGCGGUCUUCGGAUCGCGGCGAGAAAGACCCGCAAGGGUUGCCAGAGGACGAGCCUGCGGCCCAUCAGCUAGUUGGCGAGGUAACGGCUCACCAAGGCGAAGACGGGUAGCUGGUCUGAGAGGAUGAUCAGCCACACUGGAACUGAGACACGGUCCAGACUCCUACGGGAGGCAGCAGUGGGGAAUAUUGCGCAAUGGGCGAAAGCCUGACGCAGCCACGCCGCGUGAGCGAUGAAGGCCUCGGUCGUAACGUACGUACUCGUGGGUAGGAGGAAGGAA